GUGGGGAAUAUUGGACAAUGGGCGAAAGCCUGAUCCAGCCAUGCCGCGUGUGUGAAGAAGGUCUUCGGAUUGUAAAGCACUUUAAGUUGGGAGGAAGGGCAGUAAGUUAAUACCUUGCUGUUUUGACGUUACCGACAGAAUAAGCACCGGCUAACUUCGUGCCAGCAGCCGCGGUAAUACGAAGGGUGCAAGCGUUAAUCGGAAUUACAGGGCGUAAAGCGCGCGUAGGUGGUUUUGUAAGUUGGAGGUGAAAUCCCCGGGCUCAACCUGGGAACUGCCUCCAAAACUGCAUGACUAGAGUACGGUAGAGGGUAGUGGAAUUUCCUGUGUAGCGGUGAAAUGCGUAGAUAUAGGAAGGAACACCAGUGGCGAAGGCGACUACCUGGACUGAUACUGACACUGAGGUGCGAAAGCGUGGGGAGCAAACAGGAUUAGAAACCCGAGUAGUCC
RNAcentral lists this ribosomal RNA (450 nucleotides) under uncultured bacterium. RNAcentral describes it as "partial 16S ribosomal RNA". It matches the Rfam family "Bacterial small subunit ribosomal RNA", at positions 354 to 796 of the family's 1533-position model. The record is from RNAcentral.